This 873-nucleotide ribosomal RNA is filed under the name Russula sp. Its description in RNAcentral is "SSU rRNA". Lineage: Eukaryota; Fungi; Basidiomycota; Agaricomycetes; Russulales; Russulaceae. The record is from RNAcentral.
CAGUCCCAGUAUUAGUCAAUGCUCGAAAGAGUGAACUAGCUUAACUGAAUCAAUUAUCAAAAUUGAUAACAUAAGGGAAAAUAAUGAUAUUACCUUAUUAUUAGUGUCGUCCAAAUCUGGUGCCAGAAGUACUCGGUAAGGCCAGAGACACAAACGUUAAUCGUCUUAAUCAGGCGUAAAGGGUUUGUAGGCGGCUUUAAAAAUUAUUAAAAUUUAAUUUAUUUUUUAAUAAUUAAAGAAUAAAAGCUAGAAUCAAAAAGAGGAUAUAUUAAAGAAUGCUUAGAGUAGGUCUGAUAUCCCUAAAUACUAAGUAGAAUAUUAAAGGCGAAAGCUUUUUUCCAUUAAUGAUUGACGCUCAGAAACGAAGGUGAGGAUAGGAAAUAGGAUUAGAUACCCAAAAUACCCCUCUCUGUCAACGAUGAAUGGUAAUUAUUAGUAAAAAUUUAUUAAUGAUAAUGUUAACACGAUAACCAUUCCGCCUUGUGAGUACAACUGCAAAGUUGAAAACAAAAAAAUUAGUCGGUUUCGGAGCAAACGAAGUGAAGCAUGUUAUUUAAUGAUAAUUCGCAUGGUAAUCGAUAUCAGACCUCCGCUAAGAAUUCUUUAAUAUAUCCUCUUUUGAUUCUAGCUUUUAUUCUUUAAUUAUUAAAAAAUAAAUUAAAUUUUAUUAAUUUUUUUAAGCCGGCCUACAAACCCCUUUACGCCUGGAUUUAAGACGACGAACGUUGGUGUCUCAGGGCCUUACCGAGGCUGUCUGGCACCAGAUUUGGACGACACUAAUAAUAGGGAAGUAUCAUUAUUUUCCCUAUGUUAUCAAUUUGAUAAURAUUCAGUAGCAGUUCCUCUUCGAGCAUGAUAAUAUUCUGACUGCUG